UAGGGACCAUAAUAAUUAAAUUGUCCCCAAAAGUUAAUGUUUGAUAAAAAUAGGGACUAUCAAAAAACUUGUCCCCAAUUCUUGUUUUUUAAAACUAUUGGGGACGAUUUUUCUUAUUUAGUAUAGUGAAUCCGAUCCAAAUUACUAGGGACCAAAAAUUUAGCUAAUAAAAAGAGAACUUAAAAAAAAUAGGGUAGUUAAUUUGUAUGAGUUGGAAAGGGAAGAAAAGUAGCGGCAAUUAGGUUUUUUAUUAGUAAAGCAUAGUAAAUUUCACAAUCUUCUCCAUCAAAUUCACCUGAUACGUAUGUUUAUAUUGCUUUGUUAAACAUUGUAAUACGUUUAAACACAAGAUCUAUUUUCAAUUUAGUGAAAACUUAUAAUUAUUAAAAAAACCCUAAUGUUGUUUUGAUUUGGGGAAUAAUUUUACUGUGAGAACAUCGUUGUUAAGUUUUUUCCCAUUUGGAUUAUUUUUUGAUUUGAGUUUUUUUUUGAAGUAGAUUUGAGUACAUAUGAAUUAAAUUAAUGGGAUAAAUGUGGAAAAUACAUAGUUGCCUUCUAGAUUAAAAAACCAUAUGGACAAUUAUGGUUUUCUACUACCAUAGUACCAUGACUCGUUUGUGUAAGUUCUGGAAACACAAAGAAAAAGAAAAAGGAAACUUGCUGCUUUUCAGAGGAGUUGGAAUUUCUCAUUUCUGUAGCUCUUUAAAGUGAGAGCCUCUUGAAUUUAAAUUGUGCCUUGUGUUCUUUUUUGUAAUUGAAAUGCUUUGGAAAAAAAAUCGUUAAGUAUUAAUUGUCUACUUAUUUUAUACUUUGGAAAAAAUCAAUUUGAUUUUUACUCUAUUGUAUAUGUAAAUUGUAAUAAGUUGUUUGCCUCGAGUUGAGAUUCAGUUAAAGGAUUUGUUCACCUUAUGAUUUUGUGAAAUUUUAAGCACAUAUUGUGUAGAUAAUUGAUUGAAGGACUAGAUUGUUACAAAACCAAUUUUUAUAUCAUGUUGAGAUUGUUUUGGCUUCCCAGAGGCCAUAACUCAUAAUCAUCUUGCCUUGAAUGUGCAGCAUCAAAUGCAUUUAUACAUUGGUAUAUGAAAGAGGCAUAACACACAAUAGAAAAAGUUGCACAAACUUUUCUGCUCUCUAUAGACAAUGAUGUAGGUAUGGACUUUUGAUGAGAUGCACAGUGUCUCUGUUCAUCAAGCAUCAAGAAAUAAAACUUCCUUUAUCCUUUGGUCUGUAUACUCGUGCAUUCUUGUGAUACAAAUGAGCAACCUCCAGCAUGUGUGCCAGAGAUACGAAAGAGUUGCUUGAUUUUCAAGAUGACAUGCAAUUUAGCAAAAGAGCAUCGUUCAUUUUUAUGAAGACGACUAAUCAAAUUAAUGUUACUUUUUUGUUUUUUAAAUAUUAUUUUUGUUUAGGGAAUAACUAUUAGAAGAUUAAUUUUUAGUAUGUAAUUUUUGAUGCUAGUUAUAACUUUAAAUAUCAAUGAAUUGUUGGUUUUUCAAUUA
Mercurialis annua (annual mercury) is the source of this 1499-nucleotide long non-coding RNA. RefSeq lists it as uncharacterized. The transcript has 2 exons. Lineage: Eukaryota; Viridiplantae; Streptophyta; Magnoliopsida; Malpighiales; Euphorbiaceae. The record is from RefSeq and is a predicted model, not a curated record.